GACUCUCAGCAACGGAUAUCUUGGCUCUCGCCAUGAUGAAUAAUGUAGCAAAAUGUGAUACUUAUUAUGAAUUGUAGAAUCUUGUGAAUCAUCGAGUCUUUGAAUGCAAGUUGUGCUUGAGGCCUCGGUUGAGGGCACGUCUGCUUGGGUGUCG
Ribosomal RNA from Cryptomeria japonica (Japanese cedar), 154 nucleotides. RefSeq annotates it as 5.8S ribosomal RNA. Lineage: Eukaryota; Viridiplantae; Streptophyta; Pinopsida; Cupressales; Cupressaceae. The record is from RefSeq and is a predicted model, not a curated record. The transcript has a single exon.